GCAGGGGAGAGUUUGAUCCUGGCUCAGAUUGAACGCUGGCGGCAGGCCUAACACAUGCAAGUCGAGCGGCAGCACAAGGGAGUUUACUCCUGAGGUGGCGAGCGGCGGACGGGUGAGUAAUGCCUAGGGAUCUGCCCAGUCGUGGGGGAUAACAGUUGGAAACGACUGCUAAUACCGCAUACGCCCUACGGGGGAAAGGAGGGGACCUUCGGGCCUUCCGCGAUUGGAUGAACCUAGGUGGGAUUAGCUAGUUGGUGAGGUAAUGGCUCACCAAGGCGACGAUCCCUAGCUGUUCUGAGAGGAUGAUCAGCCACACUGGGACUGAGACACGGCCCAGACUCCUACGGGAGGCAGCAGUGGGGAAUAUUGCACAAUGGGGGAAACCCUGAUGCAGCCAUGCCGCGUGUGUGAAGAAGGCCUUCGGGUUGUAAAGCACUUUCAGUAGGGAGGAAAGGU
This 456-nucleotide ribosomal RNA is filed under the name Shewanella sp. BH7. Its description in RNAcentral is "bacterial SSU rRNA". It matches the Rfam family "Bacterial small subunit ribosomal RNA", at positions 1 to 453 of the family's 1533-position model. The record is from RNAcentral. Lineage: Bacteria; Pseudomonadati; Pseudomonadota; Gammaproteobacteria; Alteromonadales; Shewanellaceae.